ACUUGUUUUCCCCUCUUGUCUUUACAAAGCCAGGCCAUCAGUUCCACUCUUGUCUUUUCUAGAAAGGACUGAAGCCAGUCUUGCAAAGAGGUUUCGGCGGGCAUGCAUUUGGAUACCUGGAACUCUAAGCUCUUCAGGGUGCCAGAGCACCAAAUGCUGGAAGCCUUGACCAUGCUUUAUGAGGAGAGAUCUAUCGAGGCUGGUCUAUGUGAAGCAGUGGUUGGAGGGAGCAGGUCUGUGCCAACAAGGAAAUGCAGCUGCCAAAUCUUUUAUAAAAACCUUAAAAGCUCACAAGCAUCAAGCUCCAGAAAAGUCUCCAAAUCCCAGAACUUCCUUCCCUGUCAUCGAAUCCUAGAAAUUCAAACCUGACACUGUUGGCUUCAGGAAAACUGGGCACUUGAGAAGUCAGUGCUACGGACACCUAUUUUUCAUCUGUGUGAUCUUCGGCAAGUUGCACCUCUAUUUUCCCCAUCGGUAUAAUAGCAAUACAGUAAUGAUGAACUGGACCUCAGAGGGUGAGGGUUGAACACAAUUGUUUGAGAGAAAUGUUCAGUUCUGUGGCUGCAAUGUGGAAAAUUCUAGAUAAAUGCUGCUACUAAGAUUAUGGCAGUUACUUAGAAACCUAAA
This is a long non-coding RNA of Mesocricetus auratus (golden hamster), 627 nucleotides long. RefSeq lists it as uncharacterized. Lineage: Eukaryota; Metazoa; Chordata; Mammalia; Rodentia; Cricetidae. The transcript is spliced from 2 exons. The record is from RefSeq and is a predicted model, not a curated record.